UAAGCAUGCGAGUCGAACGAGUUUAGGCUCGUGGCGUACGGCUCAGUAACACGUGGAUAACCUACCCUUAGGACCGGGAUAACCUUGGGAAACUGAGGAUAAUACUGGAUAGGCAAUUUUUCCUGUAAUGGUUUUUUGUUUAAAUGUUUUUUCGCCUAAGGAUGGGUCUGCGGCCGAUUAGGUAGUUGGUUAGGUAAUGGCUUACCAAGCCGUUGAUCGGUACGGGUUGUGAGAGCAAGAGCCCGGAGAUGGAACCUGAGACAAGGUUCCAGGCCCUACGGGGUGCAGCAGGCGCGAAACCUCCGCAAUGUGAGAAAUCGCGACGGGGGGAUCCCAAGUGCCAUUCUUAACGGGAUGGCUUUUCAUUAGUGUAAAGAGCUUUUGGAAUAAGAGCUGGGCAAGACCGGUGCCAGCCGCCGCGGUAACACCGGCAGCUCUAGUGGUAGCAAUUUUUAUUGGGCCUAAAGCGUCCGUAGCCGGUUUAAUAAGUCUCUGGUGAAAUCCUGUAGCUUAACUGUGGGAAUUGCUGGAGAUACUAUUAGACUUGAGACCGGGAGAGGUUAGAGGUACUCCCAGGGUAGAGGUGAAAUUCUGUAAUCCUGGGAGGACCGCCUGUUGCGAAGGCGUCUAACUGGAACGGUUCUGACGGUGAGGGACGAAAGUUAGGGGCGCGAACCGGAUUAGAUACCCGGGUAGUCCUAACUGUAAACGAUGCGGACUUGGUGUUGGGGUGGCUUUGAGCUGUUCCAGUGCCGAAGGGAAGCUGUUAAGUCCGCCGCCUGGGAAGUACGGUCGCAAGACUGAAACUUAAAGGAAUUGGCGGGGGAGCACCACAACGCGUGGAGCCUGCGGUUUAAUUGGAUUCAACGCCGGACAUCUCACCAGAGGCGACAGCUGUAUGAUAGCCAGGUUGAUGACUUUGCUUGACUAGCUGAGAGGUGGUGCAUGGCC
This 951-nucleotide ribosomal RNA is filed under the name uncultured Methanobrevibacter sp. RNAcentral describes it as "bacterial SSU rRNA". It matches the Rfam family "Archaeal small subunit ribosomal RNA", at positions 45 to 999 of the family's 1478-position model. The record is from RNAcentral. Lineage: Archaea; Methanobacteriati; Methanobacteriota; Methanobacteria; Methanobacteriales; Methanobacteriaceae.